Molecule: ribosomal RNA, 440 nt
Filed under: uncultured bacterium
Lineage: Bacteria
Description: partial 16S ribosomal RNA
Rfam family: Bacterial small subunit ribosomal RNA
Source: RNAcentral
CCUACGGGAGGCAGCAGUGGGGAAUAUUUCACAAUGGGGGAAACCCUGAUGGAGCGACGCCGCGUGAGGGAAGCAGUAAUUCGGUAUUUAAAGCCCUAUCAGCAGGGAAGAAAAUGACAGUACCUGUGUCAGAAGACGCGGCUACCUCCGAGACAGCACCCGCUGUAAUACGUAGGGGGCAAGCUGAAUCCGGAUUUACUGGGUGUAAAGGGAACGUAGACGGCAGUGCAAGUCUGGAGUGAAAGGCGGGGGCUCAACCCCCGGCCUGCACAGGACACUGUAAGGCUGGAGUGCAGGAGAGGGAAGUGGAAUUCCUAGUGUAGCGGUGAAAUGCGUAGAUAUUAGGAGGAACACCAGUGGCGAAGGCGGCUUACUGGACUGUAACUGACGUUGAGGCUCGAAAGCGUGGGGAGCAAACAGGAUUAGAUACCCGGGUAGUC